GCGAAAAGGAAAAGCAAGAAAGGGACCGCAGUGCACUAACGUGACGAGGCGAUGGGUGAAUUCGAAGGUAAGAUUCAAAUUUUGUGUUUAUAAUUGAGUAUCGCGGGAUUCAAACUUUACAUGGUGACAAGGUGGAAUCGGUGGGUGGAACCUGCGUUUUUACUGUGGAAACCUGAGGAUCCUGACUAUGAGAGACCUGUGUACGAUCCUGAAAAGGCUAAGUUUACGGCUCAGGAAGAACUUGACAGGAUGCGCGAACAAGUCAAUCAAAGCGAUGGUUUUGAUAUCGAUUUCGAUUACUACCGCUGCGUUUUCAACUACCAUCGUGCCUAUCUCGAUGAUAUUGAAUUUGGUGAAUUCGGGAACGAGCCGGAAACCACUGGGGAUUUUCUCACCAGACUCGCUCAGAAAUCUCUUGAGGACCACAAUGUAAAGGAGAAGAGAGAAUUCGAGUUUGUCAGGGUUGUUAAAUCCAAUUUCCACUUCUCUGCGGGGCUUAUGUUUCUGAUAACAUUUGAAGUCAUUGAUCCUUAUGAUGGCAAGACCAAACCCUUCCAAGCAAGGGUACGCUACCUCAACGAUACCUUCACUGAGUACAUCUUCUGCAGACCUAAACCCAAUAUUAUUGGAGUGAAAUACUAUGGUAAUGCCAAGACAAAUGUCGCCGCCAAGAAACAAAGAUUGGAGUCGGAGCUUUUAUAUGCUACAAGCAUGUUAAUGGAUGUAGAGGGAUUGCAAGUGGUUGGAGUACCUUCAUCCCAAAUUAUAAACUCAAAGAUGUUAUCUCCAACGUAGAGCGUCUACUCAAUGAUGAGAGGACAGAGCCCAUGGAUCCAUGGUAUGAAGGGUUUGAAGGGACUAUUACGAAAGACGGGGAAAAUCGAUACAAAACUUUUGGUCGACUGGAGUCUUCUGGUAACGCCGAAACCCGUCUCGUGACAGAGCUGCCGAUCGAAGUCUGGACGAAUAAUUAUGUUUCUUCCUUAGAUAAAGGAAAGGAAAAUCGUGGUAAAGUGUCUGCUUUUAUCGAGAACUACCUAGACAGAAGCAACGACACCACUGUGAGUAUUCAGAUUGAAUUGAAGAAAACAGAAAAGAAGAUGACUCCAGAAGAGGAGAAAGAAAUACUUGGACUCACAACAAUGUUAUCCACGGGCAAUAUGUAUUUGUUUGACGAAAAUGACAUGAUCAAGAAAUAUGAA
Molecule: RNA transcript, 1202 nt
Organism: Brassica oleracea var. oleracea
Lineage: Eukaryota; Viridiplantae; Streptophyta; Magnoliopsida; Brassicales; Brassicaceae
Exons: 7
Source: RefSeq, a predicted model, not a curated record